AUGAACGAGUGUGGUGCAAUGGGAGAGGCCCUGGGGCUUAGCUUCAGUUCGCACAAAUCUGGGCUGAUGGCCUUUGGGGCAGCAGAGGAAAACGGGACCGUCAACCUGUCCAUUCAGGCCAACCCUGUACCUUGGGUGGACCACUACAAAUAUCUGGGUGUAAACCUACAGAAGAGACUCCACUACCUCCUAGAGCACGAGACGAAGGUCAAGGCGAAGGGCAGGAGGAACAAGGGCACAGCAACUUCCAGGGCCCUCUUGGGAUAUAACCGAUACGAGGUAACCCGAGCGGUCUGGAAGAUGGUGGCGGUGCCGGGGCUCACUUUCGGCAACUCAGUGUUGUGCCUGUCAUCAGGUACCAGGCAAUACCUCGAGGUCCGCCAGAGGGAGGCGGGAAGGUCGGCACUGGGAGCAAGCCGAACAGCACCGUGCGAGGCCGUCCAAGGAGACAUGGGCUGGUCCAGUUUUGAGGCCAAGGAGGCCCGAGCCAAGCUGGACUUUGAGCGACGCCUCAGCCGGAUGAGCGAAGAGCGCUGGGCCAGACAAGUUUUGAAGUAUGUGCAUCUUCGGUCCGUCCCAACCCGGUGGGUGCGACGGACGCGCCAGCUGGCACAGCGGUACGAGGUCAGCGGCCCACUCCUUUACCCAGCCGCGGAGCAGAUGGAACUGCAGCAGAGCAUCCGCACGAGGGUGAUCGAGAGCGAGACGCGGCGGUGGGCGGAAGCGGCACGUCUGAAACCAGCGCCGGCCCUGUAUGCCAUAGAGAAACCGGAGGCGAAGUGAAUACCUUUCAUGGACAACAGCAAGGGCAGUCCACUGCUGUCGGACGCCCGAAGCGGCAUGCUGCGGACCCGCGUGUUCCGCGCGAAGUACAUGGACAUGGAAGUGAAGUGCGCCAUGUGCGCGCAGGGAGCAGACGAGACGGCGGAACACGUCAUACUGGAAUGCAUGGACAUAAAGCCGGACGUGACGUACGAACGAGACAUGGCGGUGGCGCUGGGCUUCCGGGGCGUUAACGAACAGUACGCCGCCGAUAGUUCGCAGCCAGUGGAGGUGACAAAGAGGAGACUGGAGUGUUGGUGGAGGAGAGCAAGGGAACACAACUACGAUAUUGGCUAGUGUAGCUACCAGCCAGGCUAGAUCCAGCGCUGCUGAGAUCCCCCGAUACAAAGGGGUUAGCCCCAAAUC
RNAcentral lists this small RNA (1188 nucleotides) under Ixodes scapularis (black-legged tick). RNAcentral describes it as "uncharacterized LOC115321555". The record is from RNAcentral. Lineage: Eukaryota; Metazoa; Arthropoda; Arachnida; Ixodida; Ixodidae.